Molecule: long non-coding RNA, 839 nt
Filed under: Rosa chinensis
Lineage: Eukaryota; Viridiplantae; Streptophyta; Magnoliopsida; Rosales; Rosaceae
Description: sRNA RchiOBHm_Chr3g0457741
Source: RNAcentral
UCACCUUUUCCUCUCCAUUUUCCUUAGUCACCAUUUCCUACACCAAUUCCUUCAUCCAUUCCAUCUCUUUGUCUCACCAUUUCCUUUCCAUUUUCCUUUCCACCCUAUAGAGCAAGCCACGAGUUCAUGCAAGGCCAAGGGAGAAGAAGAAUUGCCGUGAGCAUCAUCAUCCACCACCAUUCUUGAAGCUUGCUUUCGAGAUUCAAGAGACCACAUCCUCAAUUCGUUCAUCUCACCUUCAUCCACGGUGUAAUCCGAUUCUCCUUUGUAACCUUUGCUUUGAUUUCGUUGGUUUAAUUCUAGUUAACAAAUAAUAUUAAGGGCAAAGUUUAAAGCCCGUUUAUAUGUUUUGAGAUAAAGUUGUGAUUUCUAUAUGUUGAUUUUUAUGUUGCUUAUGUGGGGUUUUGAUAUAAUUGGUGCUAGGCUUAAGAACAUGAAAUCGACUUUUCGUUUUGUGUAAACUUGAAUCAAAGUAGUAAAGGUUUUGUGCAAAGACCGAAUUUAAUUAAAGAGGAUUGCAAUUAGGUGGACUUUUCCAUACUAAGUUGUACACUUGAGUUGAUAGCCUUUCUCUAUGUCUAAUGCGUUGAACAUGUCAUGAUUGACUAGCUUUCUAGGGCUUGAUUGCAUGUUUGAUAGGAUUAAUCUAGGUGCUUUCGCUUAGGUUAAUUAGCAUUGAAAAGUAAAAUAUGGGAAAUCAUUUGCUUUCGAAUGUUUCACAUGAUCAACUCCUCUCUCAUGACAUUUAAAAUCAACUAUAGGAAUUGUAAUUGGAUUUCUUACAUAUGGAUGUGAUUUUGAUCUUUGUUCCUUGCGUUCCACCCUUGUAUAUAUGUUUU